RNAcentral lists this transfer-messenger RNA (397 nucleotides) under bacterium. It matches the Rfam family "transfer-messenger RNA". From Rfam's summary of the family: Bacterial tmRNA, also known as 10Sa RNA or SsrA, is named for its dual tRNA and mRNA-like properties. The record is from RNAcentral.
GGGAGUGCAAAAAGAUUCGAUAGAAAUCUAAUUAAAAUAUGCCAGCCAAGGUGUUAGCUCCUUGUAAAACUACUAACAACAGAAAUAAGUGCCAACUUACUUUCUAAGGUAAAGAAUGCUGUGGCUUCGGCUUUCAGCGUUCCCAUCCUUGCUUACGCCUAAUAAUUCAGGCGUACAUCUAAUCGGAUGAUUCUCGAUAAUCCUCAUUAGGUGUUAUAUUCAUCGAGAUAGGCAUCAUUUUUUCACCAAGGGAAUAAUGCUAAAAUAAAACUUGGCAGUCUUUAGCUAAAUUUUUGUCCAAUUUUUAUUUGGCUUAAGAAAUUCUAAUUGGGCUAUGCUGGUAGAAAUAUUUUAAGAUGAUUUUUAGACGCAGGGGCAGAACCUGUCACUUCCACCU